RNAcentral lists this non-coding RNA (24 nucleotides) under Arabidopsis thaliana (thale cress). Lineage: Eukaryota; Viridiplantae; Streptophyta; Magnoliopsida; Brassicales; Brassicaceae. The record is from RNAcentral.
GACAAGCUUUUGGGAAACGGUACA